RNAcentral lists this microRNA precursor (101 nucleotides) under Oryza sativa (Asian cultivated rice). RNAcentral's name for it is "miR2873 stem-loop (osa-MIR2873a)". The record is from miRBase by way of RNAcentral. Lineage: Eukaryota; Viridiplantae; Streptophyta; Magnoliopsida; Poales; Poaceae.
AAUAUAUUCUUACCAAAUUUCAAGUUCAAACUCAACUUUAUUUGUGAGAAUUUUUGUUUCUCUCAAAUGAAGUUAAGUUUGGACUUAAAUUUGGUAACAAU